RNAcentral lists this ribosomal RNA (496 nucleotides) under uncultured bacterium. RNAcentral's name for it is "partial 16S ribosomal RNA". It matches the Rfam family "Bacterial small subunit ribosomal RNA", at positions 28 to 523 of the family's 1533-position model. The record is from RNAcentral.
GAUGAACGCUAGCGGCAGGCCUAACACAUGCAAGUCGAGGGGUAUUAGGAGCUUGCUCCUAAGAGACCGGCGCACGGGUGCGUAACGCGUAUGCAAUCUACCUUUUACAGGGGAAUAGCCCAGAGAAAUUUGGAUUAAUGCCCCAUAGUAUAUAUUAUUCGCAUGUUUGAUAUAUUAAAGUUCCAACGGUAAAAGAUGAGCAUGCGUCCCAUUAGUUAGUUGGUAAGGUAACGGCUUACCAAGACGACGAUGGGUAGGGGUCCUGAGAGGGAGAUCCCCCACACUGGUACUGAGACACGGACCAGACUCCUACGGGAGGCAGCAGUGAGGAAUAUUGGACAAUGGGCGCAAGCCUGAUCCGGCCAUGCCGCGUGCAGGAAGAAGCAUCUAUGGUGUGUAAACUGCUUUUGUACGGGAAGAAACACCCCUUCGUGAAGGGACUUGACGGUACCGCAAGAAUAAGGAUCGGCUAACUCCGUGCCAGCCGCCGCCGUAA